RNAcentral lists this ribosomal RNA (1251 nucleotides) under metagenome. RNAcentral describes it as "SSU rRNA". It matches the Rfam family "Eukaryotic small subunit ribosomal RNA", at positions 612 to 1790 of the family's 1831-position model. The record is from RNAcentral.
GUUGCAGUUAAAAAGCUCGUAGUUGGAUUUCGGGGCUCCUUAUGUAAUAGUCAUGCGGUGGACACUUGCUUGUUGCUUUAGGGGGGUGUUUUUUUGGGGCAACCCGAGGACACCACCCGGCGGCAGGGGAAAGGCCACUGCGGGCGGGGCCCAUUUAUAUUUCUCGAAGACGUCACGGGCCCUUAACUGGUGUACUGUGGUCGCGGAUUCGAGACGUUUACUUUGAAAAAUUAGAGUGUUCAAAGCAGGCAAUCAAAAACGCUUGAAUACAUUAGCAUGGAAUAAUGGAAUAGGACUUUGGUCUUAUUUUGUUGGUUUCUAGGACUGAAGUAAUGAUUAAUAGGGACAGUUGGGGGCAUUCGUAUUUAAUUGUCAGAGGUGAAAUUCUUGGAUUUAUGAAAGACGAACUUCUGCGAAAGCAUUUGCCAAGGAUGUUUUCAUUAAUCAAGAACGAAAGUUAGGGGAUCGAAGACGAUUAGAUACCGUCGUAGUCCUAACCAUAAACUAUGCCGACUAGGGAUCAGUGGGGAACAAAUCAAAAAACUCCAUUGGCACCUUAUGAGAAAUCAAAGUUUUUGGGUUCUGGGGAAAGUACCAACGCAAGUUGGAAACUUAAAGGAAUUGACGGAAGGGCACACCAGGCGUGGAAUCUGCGGCUUAAUUUGACCCAACACGGGGAAACUCACCAGGUCCAGACAAAAUAAGGAUUGACAGAUUGAGAGCUCUUUCUUGAUUUUUUGGGCAGUGGUGCAUGGCCGUUCUUAGUUGGUGGAGCGAUCUGUCUGGUUAAUUCCGAUAACGAACGAGACCUUAACCUGCUAAAUAGCGACGUCAUUCCUUGUGAAGGACGGAUUUUGACUUCUUAGAGGGACUAUCGGUGACUAACCGAUGGAAGUUUGAGGCAAUAACAGGUCUGUGAUGCCCUUAGAUGUUCUGGGCCGCACGCGCGUUACACUGACAGAGGCAGCGAGUUUUUUUAAAUAUCCUGGCCUGGAAAGGUUUGGGUAAUCUUGUGAAUCUCUGUCGUGAUGGGGAUAGAUCUUUGUAAUUAUCGAUCUUCAACGAGGAAUGCCUUGUAAUCGCGGUUCAUCAAAUCGCGUUGACUACGUCCCUGCCCUUUGUACACACCGCCCGUCGCUACUACCGAUUGAAUGGUUUAGUGAGGUCUCGGGACUGGCGCGGCUUGGCUGUAAAAGGCCGAUCCAUGCUGGGAACUUGCCCAAACUUGAUCAUUUAGAGGAAGUAAAAGUC